UUAAAGCUAAGCACCUCCUAUAGAGCACCAGGCACAUCCUGGCCAGGAUUGGAGGAACAUGUUGCUUAAAAAAUUUAUAUUCACAGUCAAAAAAAAAUAUAUAUUCAUUACUUUUUGGCCAUUUAGCAUCGCAGUCGCAUAUAAAGUUUUAAACUCUUUUCAUCGUGGAGAAAUCAAAUUGGCAUAUCAUUUGAAAUUACAAGUUUACUAAAGCAUAUUAAAACAAUUAGUUUCACUUAUUAGCAAAAGAAAUGCCUACCUAUAUAAAGGACAAUUUCAAAUGUUCUUAAAAAAACGAUAAGGAUGAAAUUUUUAGUAGUUUCAGCUGUAAUUGCUGGACUUUGCCUGAGUGUAAGCCAGGCUGAACCUUCACUAAGAAGAGCCUGGCCAGAUUUAGAGAAACUUAUUGAUUAAUUUUAACAUUAUGUCAAACACUGUUUCAGUUUCAAAGCGAAAAACUACACUGAAAUCAAUUUAAAAGGGAUAGUUCUAAGUUCUCUAGUUUUAAAAUAAAUUAAACAAAAUAACUUUUCUUAUCCCAAAAAGCAAUAGAAAUGGCUCACUAUAUAAGGCACAAUUGCAAAUAUUUUUCAAAAAUCGAUCGAGAUGAACUUUCUAGCUGUUUUUGCUGUAGUCGCUGCACUGUGCCUGGGUAUAAGCCAGGCCGAACCUUCAGUGAGAAAACCCCGUCCUGAUUUGGAGACACUUAUUGAUUAAGAAAUUAAGAGUUGUAGUCAAUAAAAAAAAAAUGUAUUAAUGUGAA
Drosophila willistoni is the source of this 763-nucleotide long non-coding RNA. RefSeq lists it as uncharacterized. The record is from RefSeq and is a predicted model, not a curated record. Lineage: Eukaryota; Metazoa; Arthropoda; Insecta; Diptera; Drosophilidae. The transcript is spliced from 2 exons.